UGGAGGAGGCGGGGGGCGAGGAAGGAAGGAGUCGGGUUGACGAGCGCUCGUGCGGGAGGGCCACUGUGCGGGGAGAGGGGCUCCCGAGCACGCGCGUGGCGACGAGACUGUGGGAACUCUCGCGAGAUCUUCUGGUACCAGCUUUAUGUGGACGCAGAGGACCUGCGUCCUUUCCCGGGUGCAGUUCCAUCCUGCAGCACAGAAGCCGUUUCUCUCCGCCCGCCUUCUCUCUUCAUGAGUGCGUGCUACCGCCCCCUGGAAGAUUGUAUGGACAUGGACAUGAGCCCUUUGAGGCCCUAGAACUGCCUUUUCGGUCAGGUUAGGGGCCGGUGCAAAGGAUGCAAAGUGGACAGCACUUAGUAGCUGUGGAGGAAGAUGCAGUCAGAAGAUGACGAGGAGGAGGAUGUGAAACUCAUGUCUGGAAAGUGUUCUGCCCCUGGAGGUGGUAGCAAGGUUCCGCAGAAAAAAGUAAAACUUGCUGCUGAUGAAGAUGAUGAGGACGAUGAUGAGGAUGAGGAUGAUAAAGAGUAAGUAUGGAUUCAGAAGCUUGAUGAAGUUGUAUGGGGGGUUUUAAGAAAAUUUUUUUCUAAAAUCGUCCUGUGGAAUUGAGUAAUAGCUUUAAAUAAAGGGUAAAUGGUCAGUGGUUGUCAUUUUGGGUUAAAUGAGCCAAGUUAAAGUGUUGGAACUAUGAACCUUUAAAGUGCUUCAGUGCAUUGAGAAUUUUCAGAACUAUUUCCCUGAUGUGUUUGACUAGGUACCGCAAGCAUGUCAAACUCGCGGCCCAUGGGCCGCAUGCGGCCCACAACGAAUAUUUUUGCGGCCCAGCCAAAACAACGCUACAGAUGGAGCUCCUUUGAUGACCGGAAACAAUGGUUUCGUGGAAUUACUGCAAAAAAAACAAAGUGAAAUUUAUGACGGAUCCAUGAUUCAUCAUAUACAUUGCAUUAUACAUCAAGAAGUAUUAUGCGCAAAGGUAAUAAACAUGGAAAAUGUGUUGACAUCUAUCAAAAAAAAUUAUCAAUUUCAUAAGAUCUCAAAGCUUUAAUCAGCAACAGUUCUCUGCUUUCUUAAGUGAAUUAGCAAAUAUUCCGGCUUGUGCUACUUACUAUAUCGAGGUACGUUGGCUAUCCUGCUCCAAGGUUCUGAAACAAUUCUGGGACUUGAAAGAAGAAAUAUGUCAGUUCUUAAUGUCUAAAAAUCAAGACACAAGCCUAUUUUUUGACACAAUAUGGUUGCAGGAUUUAUCCUUCAUGGUUGAUAUAACAAAACAUUUAUAUGAUUUAAACUUAAAAUUGCAAGGAAGAGAUCAGAUUAUUACAAACAUGUGUGACCAAGUCAAAGCAUUUAAAUGUAAGCUAGUUCUUUGGGAAAAGCAGUUGAAAAA
Molecule: long non-coding RNA, 1384 nt
Organism: Myotis brandtii (Brandt's bat)
Lineage: Eukaryota; Metazoa; Chordata; Mammalia; Chiroptera; Vespertilionidae
Exons: 5
Source: RefSeq, a predicted model, not a curated record